AUUUGACUCAACGCGGGGAAUCUUACCGGGUCCGGACACACUGAGGAUUGACAGACAGUUGUCUUUCCCUCCCUUCGGGGUGGGAUUACAAAAGAUAACAGAUCUUUCAUGAUCAUGUGAUGGGUGGUGCAUGGCCGUUCUUAGUUCGUGGAGUGAUCUGUCUGCUUAAUUGCGUUUCAAAUUUUAUAUUUGUUAACAUGCGAGUCUUCAAUGACGGCCGCUCCACCUUAUAGACAUUAUAUGAUAUGCACAUUUGUGUAUUUGAUUAUAACUUGUCUGGAGUCUGGCUCGAUUUUUUUGACUCAAUUGAACGCAACGGACGUGAUUGCAAGUCCUUGUUGAACAAAUUAUAUAUAUACUACUUCAUCAUUAGUAUAUAUAGUUCGCUUCUCAUGUCGUAGCAGUCAAACGGGCGGGCGUCUUAAUUGGCGCGGUCACGAGGCUUAAUAUGCUGCGGCAGGGAAAACUUGGGCGACCGCUGUAAUACUUCUCUCUUAAACCAGAGGAAGAUUGCGGCAAUAACAGGUCUGUGAUGC
Molecule: ribosomal RNA, 536 nt
Filed under: Globigerinella siphonifera
Lineage: Eukaryota; Foraminifera; Rotaliida; Globigerinidae
Description: bacterial SSU rRNA
Rfam family: Eukaryotic small subunit ribosomal RNA
Source: RNAcentral